CCUACGGGAGGCUGCAGUGAGGAAUAUUGGUCAAUGGGCGCGAGCCUGAACCAGCCAAGUAGCGUGAAGGAUGACGGCCCUACGGGUGGUAAACUUCUUUUAUAAAGGAAUAAAGUGAGGCACGUGUGCCUUUUUGGAUGUACGUUAUGAAUAAGGAUCGGCUAACGCCGUGCCAGCAGCCGCGGUAAUACGGAGGAUCCGAGCGUUAUCCGGAUUGAUUGGGUUGAAAGGGAGCGGAGAUGGGUUGUUAAGUCAGUUUUGAAAGUUUGCGGCUCAACCGUAAAAUUGCAAUUGAUACUGGCAGCCUUGCGUACAGUUGCGGUAGGCGGCAUUCGUGUUGUAGCGG
RNAcentral lists this ribosomal RNA (346 nucleotides) under uncultured bacterium. RNAcentral's name for it is "partial 16S ribosomal RNA". It matches the Rfam family "Bacterial small subunit ribosomal RNA", at positions 338 to 681 of the family's 1533-position model. The record is from RNAcentral.